Non-coding RNA from Larimichthys crocea (large yellow croaker), 54 nucleotides. The record is from Rfam. Lineage: Eukaryota; Metazoa; Chordata; Actinopteri; Sciaenidae.
UGUUCCCGUUUCUGUAAGUCGCUUUGGAUAAAAGCGUCUGCUAAAUGACUAAAU